UACGUAGGUGGCAAGCGUUGUCCGGAUUUACUGGGCGUAAAGAGCGCGCAGGCGGUCGUUCAAGUCGCGUGUGAAAGCCCCCGGCUCAACUGGGGAGGGUCACGCGAUACUGGUCGACUCGAAGGCAGGAGAGGGUAGUGGAAUUCCCGGUGUAGUGGUGAAAUGCGUAGAUAUCAUGAGGAAUACCAGAGGCGAAGGCGGCUACUUGGACAAUUGCUGACGCUCGGGCACGAAAGCGUGGGGAGCAAAAGGG
Molecule: ribosomal RNA, 253 nt
Filed under: uncultured bacterium
Lineage: Bacteria
Description: partial 16S ribosomal RNA
Rfam family: Bacterial small subunit ribosomal RNA
Source: RNAcentral